This 361-nucleotide ribosomal RNA is filed under the name uncultured Flavobacterium sp. RNAcentral's name for it is "bacterial SSU rRNA". It matches the Rfam family "Bacterial small subunit ribosomal RNA", at positions 1 to 369 of the family's 1533-position model. Lineage: Bacteria; Pseudomonadati; Bacteroidota; Flavobacteriia; Flavobacteriales; Flavobacteriaceae. The record is from RNAcentral.
UCGAGAGUUUGUCCUGACUCAGGAUGAACGCUAGCGGCAGGCUUAACACAUGCAAGUCGAGGGGUAUAGUUCUUCGGAGCUAGAGACCGGCGCACGGGUGCGUAACGCGUAUGCAAUCUACCUUUUACAGAGGGAUAGCCCAGAGAAAUUUGGAUUAAUACCUCAUAGUAUGUGAGAAUCGCAUGGUUUUCACAUUAAAGUUCCAACGGUAAAAGAUGAGUAUGCGUCCCAUUAGCUAGAUGGUAAGGUAACGGCUUACCAUGGCAACGAUGGGUAGGGGUCCUGAGAGGGAGAUCCCCCACACUGGUACUGAGACACGGACCAGACUCCGUACGGGAGGCAGCAGUGAGGAAUAUUGGAC